Molecule: long non-coding RNA, 2424 nt
Organism: Coturnix japonica (Japanese quail)
Lineage: Eukaryota; Metazoa; Chordata; Aves; Galliformes; Phasianidae
Source: RefSeq, a predicted model, not a curated record
GGAGGUAUUGUUGCUAAACUUAGCUAAAAUGCAUUAGCUAAACUGCAUAUUUACAUAUAUUUAAGCAUUGUUCUCAUGUGCCUUCAGCUAGAAGUGGGAACUUAGAAGUGGGUGACUUUGAAAUGAUCUUCUUUCCCUGUAGUUUUGUUGCCAAAAACAAGAAUUAGAAAAAAAGAAUGAGUACUUUCUCUUAACUUGUGUAGCACUGGGUAGUUCGAGGUGUUUGGGUGCAUGAUUUGUGAUCAGUUUACUAAGGAAAAAUAGCGGUUUCACCAAUAAUGACUACUACAAUUCAUAGAAAUCCAAACGGAUGCAAAGCAUUCCACCGUAUUAACACAGAGACAACUUCAAGGAAACAGCAACAGAUGCAGUGACACCCAACAUUAUGCUCAGCAACACCAGGGAAAUAAAUAGAAGUAUUCCCAGCAGAACUGCAAGUGACAGCAGUUCUGGGGACAUCUGAGAAGAGAUUCAGCUCAUCUGACUUCAGGAGUUUCUAGAAUGCACACUUGACCUGUUUUGGAUUUCUAUAUUAGGGUGAGAUGAAUCACACAUUGAAAGUGUGUUUCUCACCAGACAUUAAAAGAGCUGGGUGAGUGACUCAGAGGAUUAGACAAGGUGAAUCCCACUCUGCUGUCCUCCCAGGCACUCUGACCUGAUGCAACGAGUGAAAGCAACAAGCUGCACAAUGAAAGAGACAUUACAACUGACAGCUUCUCAAGACAUCAUUAUGUCAUGCGUGUGCAAGACACUGCUAAGCUGCAAAGAAGAUUAGUUCCCAAGAGUAGAAGCUUCUCUGAAUCUUAAGCAAAACUAGCUCCAGCUCUCAUGUACAUGCACACAUUUUACACACCCUGGCUUGGAGACCUUUCUGCAACCAGCUGCUUUCGUGGCCUUCCAGUUGCUUGCUACUUCAAGUACAUUAGAGAAAAUGCUGACAUUCGCUCCUGACAUUCCAUAACAAAUUACAGCCAUUUGUAUGAAGGGCUUCCUGUCAGUUGAGGGCUCCAAUAUAGUAUGCUUGUUCCAUUUCUUUAACUUACAUCUGGCAGAAGAUCAUCUCCUCUACUGUUCAUCAAGACUUCUCAGGGAUUUUCAAACCACUCCUUUCCUCAUCCACCCACAAAAGCCGGCUGAUAACAGCUUACGUACAUAAAUUAAUUCCAUAUAAAUGAACCCUCUGUCUGCAAGAGCACUGUAAAUACAGAGAAAAUAAACCAAACAGCCUAAGGUGGCUCAUUCCUCUUAUGUGCAGGAAUGUAUACACUGGGCCUUGGUGGUUCAUCCUGGUUAGCUGUAGUGGCUGACUGUCAGAUGAAAAAUUCUUUGCUUAGAACUGUGAUUGUACUUGUGAAGUUAUCUUAAAGCUCAUCGUGCUCACCAAAGACACCCUUAAUGAUCAGCAAGUUACAAGAAAUCUUAUUAUCUGUGUUAUAAUGUGACAUAGACAGUGGUAUGUGCAAUAUUGCCUUGACAUACUGAAGUCUUUGCUUUCACUGUAUUUGAUCACAUUGUUCAUAACUAAAGAUGCCUGUUAAAUAAAGAUUAAAGUGACCCCUUUAUGGUGUCACACUUCACGCUUGUCUCAACAUGGGGAUAAUAGGUAGAAGGAAUUUGUUCACCAUUUCAGUCAGCUCAGAGGGUAAUUCAGAUCAGAAAUGGUCUCCAAGGCCCUAUGAAUAUUCAUAUAUUUCUCUACUAAGUAGAUAAGGUACAAUGCAACCUUGUUUUCUUAAUAUUCCCUAGGCCAGGAAGGGUGAACCCAGGUCAAAAUCUAACUUCUUAGUGCUGCCUUGGGCAGAACAUGUUUGCCUCACUGCAUCUGCCACACCUGUGCAAACUGAAACAAAAACUUUCCCGAUCUUACAAGUUACAUGCCAAAAACUUCACCAAAAUGACACACCAACCAAACUUCAUCAAGAUAAACACCACCAGAAGUGUCAUAUACAAAUCACUCCUUCACAAUUUGCCUGGGCUGGACAUGCAGCUGAGUCCCAGAACAACCCAGUACCUCAGUUUCCACAGUUCCUUGAACUCCAUUCCACUCAGAGACAGAGAUGUGGAUUACACGAGUACAGCCUUUGGUCACAAAGGCACAUGCUCAGCUUGGAAAUCACACUGGAGCUCUUUGUAAGUCACAUGUGGCCCUGGAGGCUGUGUGGCCUUGUGAUAUUCUAUACAUGCAGUGGCUGUGAUUGACAUAGAGAAAUAAAGUAAAAACACAUUUAUUACACUUUCUGUCUUUUUCCGUUCCCAGAUGAGAAAGAAGCAUCUUUGGCUGUAGCUCAACAGCAGUAAAACUGUUCAACUUCCAACCUCACUAAAAUGUACUGUCAAAGUGGUAUUAAAUAAAUAGUGAAUGCCUGAGCCUGUGAGAGGAAACAAAAAGUAGUUCAUAGAUACAUGAGUGACUUUAUUGACAAC